UACGGAGGGUGCAAGCGUUAUCCGGAUUUACUGGGUUUAAAGGGUGCGUAGGAGGGCAGGUAAGUCAGUGGUGAAAUCUCCAAGCUUAACUUGGAAACUGCCGUUGAUACUAUCUGUCUUGAAUAUUGUGGAGGUGAGCGGAAUAUGUCAUGUAGCGGUGAAAUGCUUAGAUAUGACAUAGAACACCAAUUGCGAAGGCAGCUCACUACACAAUCAUUGACUCUGAGGCACGAAAGCGUGGGGAUCAAACAGG
Molecule: ribosomal RNA, 253 nt
Filed under: uncultured bacterium
Lineage: Bacteria
Description: partial 16S ribosomal RNA
Rfam family: Bacterial small subunit ribosomal RNA
Source: RNAcentral